CAGCUACUUCCUCCGUUUCAUAAUUCUUGUCUCCAAUUCGUCCAAAUAUGAAUGUAUCUAUUUUUAAAAAGUGUCUAGAUACAUGUAAUAUUUCGACAAGAAUUAUGAAACGAAGGGAGUACUUU
Brachypodium distachyon (stiff brome) is the source of this 125-nucleotide non-coding RNA. The record is from Rfam. NCBI's taxonomy places the organism in Eukaryota, Viridiplantae, Streptophyta, Magnoliopsida, Poales, Poaceae.